GAUGAACGCUGGCGGCGUGCCUAAUACAUGCAAGUCGAGCGAACAGAUGAGGAGCUUGCUCCUCUGACGUUAGCGGCGGACGGGUGAGUAACACGUGGAUAACCUACCUAUAAGACUGGGAUAACUUCGGGAAACCGGAGCUAAUACCGGAUAAUAUAUUGAACCGCAUGGUUCAAUAGUGAAAGACGGUUUUGCUGUCACUUAUAGAUGGAUCCGCGCCGCAUUAGCUGGUUGGUAAGGUAACGGCUUACCAAGGCAACGAUGCGUAGCCGACCUGAGAGGGUGAUCGGCCACACUGGAACUGAGACACGGUCCAGACUCCUACGGGAGGCAGCAGUAGGGAAUCUUCCGCAAUGGGCGAAAGCCUGACGGAGCAACGCCGCGUGAGUGAUGAAGGUCUUCGGAUCGUAAAACUCUGUUAUUAGGGAAGAACAAAUGUGUAAGUAACUAUGCACGUCUUGACGGUACCUAAUCAGAAAGCCACGGCUAACUACGUG
Molecule: ribosomal RNA, 497 nt
Filed under: uncultured bacterium
Lineage: Bacteria
Description: partial 16S ribosomal RNA
Rfam family: Bacterial small subunit ribosomal RNA
Source: RNAcentral